GCGAAAUAUCUGACAAGAAAUCACAUUUCAGCCUCUUCUGGCUACCAGAGACUAUAUCUGGACAGCAGGAGGUUCUGACGAAGGUUCGGUUCUACUGAAGGGUUCGGUUUGUUCGCUCCUCUCCGGUCGGAACCAGUUUGAUAGAAAGUUAGAACUCACCGGACCGA
Long non-coding RNA from Gambusia affinis (western mosquitofish), 167 nucleotides. RefSeq lists it as uncharacterized. The transcript is spliced from 2 exons. The record is from RefSeq and is a predicted model, not a curated record. NCBI's taxonomy places the organism in Eukaryota, Metazoa, Chordata, Actinopteri, Cyprinodontiformes, Poeciliidae.